Molecule: non-coding RNA, 84 nt
Filed under: Chromobacterium sp. LK11
Lineage: Bacteria; Pseudomonadati; Pseudomonadota; Betaproteobacteria; Neisseriales; Chromobacteriaceae
Description: sRNA-Xcc1
Rfam family: sRNA-Xcc1
Source: Rfam by way of RNAcentral
GGCCGGGUGUGCGGCUAAUACAAUACCCGCAAGGGGAAUACGCCCGCCGUCUGUAUGCGGUUUUGAGCACCCGGCCGCCCUCUC